Molecule: ribosomal RNA, 464 nt
Filed under: uncultured bacterium
Lineage: Bacteria
Description: partial 16S ribosomal RNA
Rfam family: Bacterial small subunit ribosomal RNA
Source: RNAcentral
CUACGGGAUGCAGCAGUGAGGAAUUUUGCGCAAUGGGGGAAACCCUGACGCAGCAACGCCGCGUGAGCGAAGAAGGCCCUCGGGUCGUAAAGCUCUGUCAAGUGGGAAAAAAAUUCUUUGAUCAAUAGUCAAAGGACUUGACGGUACCACUGGAGGAAGCACCGGCUAACUCCGUGCCAGCAGCCGCGGUAAUACGGAGGGUGCAAGCGUUGUUCGGAAUUACUGGGCGUAAAGAGCGUGUAGGCGGUUUAGCAAGUCAGAUGUGAAAGCCCUGGGCUCAACCUGGGAAGUGCAUUUGAAACGGCUUGACUAGAGUGUGGGAGAGGAGAGUGGAACUCCUGGUGUAGAGGUGAAAUGCGUAGAUAUCAGGAGGAACACCCGUGGCGAAGGCGAUUCUCUGGACCAAUACUGACGCUGAGACGCGAAAGCGUGGGGAGCAAACAGGAUUAGAUACCCGAGUAGUC